This 586-nucleotide ribosomal RNA is filed under the name Leptodactylus macrosternum. Its description in RNAcentral is "partial large subunit ribosomal RNA". It matches the Rfam family "Bacterial large subunit ribosomal RNA", at positions 1817 to 2610 of the family's 2925-position model. The record is from RNAcentral. Lineage: Eukaryota; Metazoa; Chordata; Amphibia; Anura; Leptodactylidae.
CGCCUCUUGAACCCUAUAAGAGGUCCAGCCUGCCCAGUGACUUUGUUCAACGGCCGCGGUAUCCUAACCGUGCGAAGGUAGCGUAAUCACUUGUUCUUUAAAUGAGGACUAGUAUGAAUGGCACCACGAAGGUUAUACUGUCUCCUUUCUUUAAUCAGUGAAACUAAUCUCUCCGUGAAGAAGCGGGGAUAAACCUAUAAGACGAGAAGACCCUAUGGAGCUUUAAACAUAAGUAACAACUGCCCAUUAAAUUUUUUAAUCUCAGGAGAUUAAUCACAACACUUAGGCACUUUGAUUACAAGUUUUAGGUUGGGGUGACCGCGGAGCAAAAAAUAACCUCCGCAGUGAAUGGAACUUAUUUCCUAAACCCAGGGCUACGACCCUAAGAAUCAAUAAAUUGACACUGAUUGACCCAAUAUUUUUGAUCAAUGAACCAAGUUACCCUAGGGAUAACAGCGCAAUCCACUUCAAGAGCCCCUAUCGACAAGUGGGUUUACGACCUCGAUGUUGGAUCAGGGUAUCCCAGUGGUGCAGCCGCUACUAAAGGUUCGUUUGUUCAACGAUUAAAACCCUACGUGAUCUGAGU